Molecule: transfer RNA, 69 nt
Filed under: Pteronotus sp. PV-RO-BRA
Lineage: Eukaryota; Metazoa; Chordata; Mammalia; Chiroptera; Mormoopidae
Description: tRNA-Ala
Rfam family: tRNA
About the family: Transfer RNA (tRNA) molecules are approximately 80 nucleotides in length.
Source: RNAcentral
AAGGGCUUAGCUUAAUUAAAGCAAUUGAUUUGCGUUCAGUAGAUGUGAGAUAUGGUCUUGCAGUCCUUA